This 484-nucleotide ribosomal RNA is filed under the name uncultured bacterium. RNAcentral's name for it is "partial 16S ribosomal RNA". It matches the Rfam family "Bacterial small subunit ribosomal RNA", at positions 30 to 507 of the family's 1533-position model. The record is from RNAcentral.
AUUGAACGCUGGCGGCAGGCCUAACACAUGCAAGUCGAGCGGACGAAGGAAGCUCUCUCCUGGAUUCAGCUGCGGACGGGCGAGUAAUGCCUAGGAAUCUGCCCGGCAGUUGGGGAUAACGUAAGGAAACGGGCGCGAAUAUCGCAUACGUCCAUAUGUAGAAAGGGGGGGAUCAUCGGACCAAACGCGAUUAGAUGAGCCUAGGACGGAUUAGCUAGUUGGUUAGGUAAAGGCCUACCAAGGCGACGAUCCGUAACUGGUCUGAGAGGAUGAUCAGUCACACUGGAACUGAGACACGGUCCAGACUCCUACGGGAGGCAGCAGUGGGGAAUAUUGCGCAAUGGGCGAAAGCCUGACGCAGCCAUGCCGCGUGUGUGAAGAAGGUCUUCGGAUCGUAAAGCUCUUUAAGUUGGGAAGAAGAACUGUGUAUUAAUCCAUGGCUGUUUUGACGUUACCAACAGAGAAAGCCCCGGCUAACUACGUG